GGGGAAUUUUGGACAAUGGGGGCAACCCUGAUCCAGCCAUGCCGCGUGCGGGAAGAAGGCCUUCGGGUUGUAAACCGCUUUUGGUCGGGAAGAAAGGGUUCUCCCUAAUACGGAGGACUGUUGACGGUACCGGCAGAAUAAGCACCGGCUAACUACGUGCCAGCAGCCGCGGUAAUACGUAGGGUGCGAGCGUUAAUCGGAAUUACUGGGCGUAAAGCGUGCGCAGGCGGUAAGUUAAGUCUGAUGUGAAAGCCCCGGGCUCAACCUGGGAAUGGCAUUGGAAACUGGCUUGCUCGAGUGUGGCAGAGGGGGGUGGAAUUCCGCGUGUAGCAGUGAAAUGCGUAGAGAUGCGGAGGAACACCGAUGGCGAAGGCAGCCCCCUGGGCCAACACUGACGCUCAGGCACGAAAGCGUGGGGAGCAAAC
This 425-nucleotide ribosomal RNA is filed under the name uncultured bacterium. Its description in RNAcentral is "bacterial SSU rRNA". It matches the Rfam family "Bacterial small subunit ribosomal RNA", at positions 356 to 773 of the family's 1533-position model. The record is from RNAcentral.